ACAAUUCAAAUCGUUAUCACUUUCAUAAUACAAGUCACAUACCGCAAAUGGACAUAUUUGUCUUUGGUUUUGCUUCUAUCGUUGAAAAUUCAUUGAAAGUGAAAGAUAUACCAUCGCCAUUGUCUGGUGUGCUUCUUAACAGAACCGCGAUGCUUAUAGACAGUAUAUUCACGAGGUUGCCAAACAUCAUCGACGAUGUAGAACAUGAUAUAUUCUCAUGACAACAAAUUCGGUACGCGUAAAUGUUGUGGGGGUUUGAAUUGCUAUUUUAUGAAUUGCCGAAAAAUGGAGUUCUUUGGAAUAGAGCUGACGAGAGAGAAAAAAUUCGGACGGAGACAAGGAGGGGUGUGCAUGUGUGUGUGUCUGGUUGAAUCGAGCAAAAUGGGCAAAAUGCGAUAAAUGGCAAACGACGACGGCGACGAGCACAGCGAAAAACCGGAAAUUGUGUACAGAAAUCAGUUUAUUGUGAAAAUGGGAAAAUUCAUUUAGAUGCGAACAAUGGACGAAUGCCUGGUGCACGACAACACUGGCAAUAAAUAAAUUAUUCGCAGCGCACCAAACAGGCUGCAAAUGUUUGUGUGAUUUGAUUUGGUUUAUGUUUGUUCACCAUUUAUGCAUUCCAAUAUGAAUAUCCGUUGUAAAAAUUGAUUCGGAUAUGGUGGAGGUUAUAUUGAAUUUUCACAUAUUCACACAAUGGCCCAAUGGUCGACGAAUGUACACAUGCACACCAAAAAAAUAAACAAUUUCCAAUGA
Contarinia nasturtii (swede midge) is the source of this 753-nucleotide long non-coding RNA. RefSeq lists it as uncharacterized. Lineage: Eukaryota; Metazoa; Arthropoda; Insecta; Diptera; Cecidomyiidae. The record is from RefSeq and is a predicted model, not a curated record. The transcript is spliced from 3 exons.